GCGGUUCCCGGGCCGAGGUCGGCGAGGCCGCCGUCGACUCGGACGACGUGGACAUGGUCAGCUUCACGGGUUCGACCGCCGUGGGACGGCG
This 91-nucleotide transfer RNA is filed under the name Streptomyces fructofermentans. Its description in RNAcentral is "tRNA-Arg". The record is from RNAcentral. Lineage: Bacteria; Bacillati; Actinomycetota; Actinomycetes; Kitasatosporales; Streptomycetaceae.